UACGAAGGGGGCUAGCGUUACUCGGAUUGACUGGGCGUAAAGGGCGCGUAGGCGGCUUGUACAGUCAGACGUGAAAUUCCUGGGCUCAACCUGGGGGCUGCGUUUGAUACGUGCGGGCUUGAGUUCGGAAGAGGGUCGUGGAAUUCCCAGUGUAGAGGUGAAAUUCGUAGAUAUCAAGCAGAACACCUGCGGCGAAGGCGGCCUUCUGGACGAUGACUGACGCUGAGACGCGAAAGCGUGGGGAGCAAACAGG
Molecule: ribosomal RNA, 253 nt
Filed under: uncultured bacterium
Lineage: Bacteria
Description: partial 16S ribosomal RNA
Rfam family: Bacterial small subunit ribosomal RNA
Source: RNAcentral